This 875-nucleotide ribosomal RNA is filed under the name uncultured Bacillota bacterium. Its description in RNAcentral is "bacterial SSU rRNA". It matches the Rfam family "Bacterial small subunit ribosomal RNA", at positions 28 to 899 of the family's 1533-position model. Lineage: Bacteria; Bacillati; Bacillota. The record is from RNAcentral.
GAUGAACGCUAGCGGCAGGCUUAACACAUGCAAGUCGAGGGGCAGCGCGGGGCGGCAACGUCCUGGCGGCGACCGGCGGAAGGGUGCGUAACGCGUGAGCGACAUGCCCGUUGCCCGGGGACAACCGGUGGAAACGCCGACUAAUCCCCGAUGGGACGGAGGCCCUCAUGGGUCUCUGUUGAAAGUUACGGCGGCGACGGAUUGGCUCGCGUCCGAUUAGCUUGUUGGCGGGGUAACGGCCCACCAAGGCUACGAUCGGUAGGGGUUCUGAGAGGAAGGUCCCCCACAAUGGAACUGAGACACGGUCCAUACUCCUACGGGAGGCAGCAGUGAGGAAUAUUGGUCAAUGGGCGGAAGCCUGAACCAGCCAUGCCGCGUGCGGGAAGGAGGCCCUAUGGGCUGUGAACCGCUUUUGCCUGGGGGCAAUAAGGGCGUCGCGCACGUCCGAUGAGAGUACCAGGGGAAUAAGCAUCGGCUAACUCCGUGCCAGCAGCCGCGGUAAUACGGGGGAUGCGAGCGUUAUCCGGAUUCAUUGGGUUUAAAGGGUGCGUAGGCUGUGCGUCAAGUCAGGGGUGAAAUUCCGGGGCUCAACUCCGGGGCUGCCCUUGAUACUGUCGCGCUGGAGUGCGGAUGCCGCCGGAGGAAUGAGUGGUGUAGCGGUGAAAUGCUUAGAUAUCACUCAGAACACCGAUUGCGAAGGCAUCUGGCGAAUCCGUAACUGACGCUGAGGCACGAAAGCGUGGGGAUAGAACAGGAUUAGAUACCCUGGUAUUCCACGCCGUAAACGAUGAUGGCUAACCGCCGGCGACAUACUGUCGGUGGCCAAGCGAAAGCGAUAAGCCAUCCACCUGGGGAGUACGUCGGCAACGAUGCAA